GAACUUAAGCAUAUCAAUAAGCGGAGGAAAAGAAACCAACAGGGAUUGCUUCAGUAACGGCGAGUGAAGCGGCAACAGCUCAAAUUUGAAAUCGACUUCGGUCCGAGUUGUAAUUUGUAGAGGAAGUCUCGGGUGCGAUACUGGUCUAAGUUCCUUGGAACAGGACGUCAUAGAGGGUGAGAAUCCCGUAUGCGACUGGUGGUCAACCCCAUGUGAGGCCCCUUCGACGAGUCGAGUUGUUUGGGAAUGCAGCUCAAAAUGGGUGGUAAAUUUCAUCUAAAGCUAAAUACCGGCCAGAGACCGAUAGCGCACAAGUAGAGUGAUCGAAAGAUGAAAAGCACUUUGGAAAGAGAGUUAAAAAGUACGUGAAAUUGUUGAAAGGGAAGCGCUUGCAACCAGACUUGCUCGCGGGUGAUCCACCGUCCCUCGGGGCGGUCUACUCUCCCGUGAUCAGGCCAACAUCGGUUUCGGUGGCUGGAUACAGGCUCCGGGAAUGUGGCUNCCCUCCGGGGAGUGUUAUAGCCCGGGGUGCAAUGCAGCCCGCCGGGACCGAGGACCGCGCUUCGGCUAGGAUGUUGGCGUAAU
This 585-nucleotide ribosomal RNA is filed under the name Baeomyces rufus. RNAcentral describes it as "LSU rRNA". It matches the Rfam family "Eukaryotic large subunit ribosomal RNA", at positions 30 to 635 of the family's 3401-position model. The record is from RNAcentral. Lineage: Eukaryota; Fungi; Ascomycota; Lecanoromycetes; Baeomycetales; Baeomycetaceae.